Molecule: long non-coding RNA, 3474 nt
Organism: Strigops habroptila (Kakapo)
Lineage: Eukaryota; Metazoa; Chordata; Aves; Psittaciformes; Psittacidae
Source: Ensembl
GCGCUUCGCGCCAUCAGCCCCCCGUGAGGGCGCCCAACGGUCAUGAAAUCCACAUCUCUACCCCUUCAUUUCUGCACUGCCUCUGCUGCAUGUGUCCCAUCUUGUCUCUUUUCUGUUGGGAGCAUUAAAACAGGAAUGCCCUCCCUGGGAAAACUCAGGAUUAUCUUUUCAACACGUCCAAAGAGCAGCUCUUUGCACUUGGCUGGGUCCUUGAAGAGGAUGUUUGCUGCAGCACAAGAGAAAUAUUUACUGUGUUCUCUUAUGGCUCAUGGUUUGGUUGCCUUGAUAUCCAAAUGACUGAUCCUGCCAUCUACAGAGACUAAAUGACGCUCUUGCCAUCACAGUGGACUAGAAGAGAUGAAGAUGGCAGGAUCCUUCAGCCCCUUGUGGGAAGAUGCUACAAUGUAAGAAGCUUCUUCAGUGGUUUCCUUCAUCUCAGUGCUGCUGGACUUCCCACACCUUCUCUGCAGCGUGUUGCCCUACAGAUGGAAGACUGAGCUGCAAACCAGCAGAAACCCUAGACUUCGACCAGGGAAUCUUGCAGCCAAAUACAGAUAUCCAAUUCCAGAACAGGUUUGGCAACCUUCUGAUGUUUAUGGGGUUUGGAGUAUUAUUUCCCACAGGCACUUCCGUAGCCGGAUGCUAGAUCAAGGUGUAAGUUGGCCAGUAAGUUUUGCAUUGCUUUAUGCCCCUCAUACAGCCUUGCUGGUGGAGAGAGACCUCGUCCUCAAGCAGUGUGGCUUGUGAUGAGCUGUGGUAGUUAACUGUACAUCAUUCAUCCAAGUUUAGUAUUCCUUAUACUGCUGAAUUGUGCUGGAAAGAGUUCUCUUCACAGAAGCCCACAACAUGCUGUGGCCUUUUGUGUCUGCACUCUACCUCCUAAACCCAAGCUGACUCAGCUCUUCCUCUGCAACCUCUGCCUUGUCCACAGCUGGCACGUAGAGCUAGUAGGAAUGAUACUAUCUGCCAUUUAAAACUUGAAUCAAGCUUGUCAAUUAAAAGAGCUACACCACAUUAGCACUCCCAGGCUAGAUCAAUUUUGUGCUUUAAUUUGUGGAGUUGGUGAGACUAUUCAAAGAUUUGCUCACGUCUCUGAACUCAUUCUGCAGGUACUGGCAGGAUUUCAGCACUAAAGUUGCUGCUCCCAGGGGCUUUAAUGGUACCAGACACAUUCCGUGGCAACUCCUGUUUGCCCUUUUUAUCAGGAGUUUAACAUUGCCCUUUGAGGGCAUGUUUUUGCAGUCAUAAAUACGCUCUUUGCUUUUACACAGUUGUGCUCUUGCAAGUAAUAAUGGGCAGAGAUGUUCACUUAACUCUUUUUACAGAAUAAACAGUAGCAGCCAAAGGUGAGUAUGAGAUUCUCUGUGCUUUGUUAGCACAGGUGUACUGGGAAAAGGGCCCUGAAAGCUCUGGAACCAAGCACAUAAAAUGGGAUUCUUGGAAGUAAAUGUAAGAUGCCACAUACUUAAGAGGGUUAACAAGAGGAAAGGUGUUCUAGGGAAUGCUGCAGCAUUGCAGCAUUCAUUCCAACUGGUACUGUUGUCACAGGCAACAGAUAACUACCAGCUCUUACCUGCAAUAUAUCUCCAUGCUGAAUUAACCAUGACCACUGUGAGUGUCAGCAUACCUGCAGCAGUGUAACCUGCUGUUCCUGUGUUGACUAGUGCUCAUCUGAAAGCCACCGCCUCCAAAGCCUUUCCAUGCUGGAAGUGUGGGAUUUUCUCACCUGCUUGUAUCACAUUUGCAUUUUGCUGGAGACUCUAUCCCAAUUUCCCUUCCUCCCUGCUACCCAGCAGUCAUGAAUUAAGUUGCAUAUGAGCAUUAAGGAAAGAACAAGAUCCUGUGGCUUAGAACCUCCUUUUUUGGGGAUAACUGUUCUGUGUAUGAAGGGGAAUCUGCUAGUCUUCAAAUCUUGAUUUAUUGCUGGUUUCUUACACAGUGAGCUGAGCACUGGUGGUCAGGAACAUGCUGUGUUGCAGCCUCGUGGCAGGACUUACAUGCUGGAGUGUCUGCAGUGUAGUACUAGGAGCAGAUUGUGUUACUGAAGGUGAGGUUGUGCUUAUCUGUGAGGCUUCCCCAAAAGCUGCCAGAUGGAAGUAGCUUUUCAGAAGAAUGAGGAUAACGCUGCUGUAAUCAAGCUGUCUCAUUAAAAAUACUCCAAAGUGAAUCAGGUACCUGUUUGGUAUGUCAUGCCUGCACUGGGGAAUGCCACUUACUUUGAUGUUAACAGCCAGUGUCCUAUCAUAAAGCAGUAUAUCCGUGUGGCUGUGGAAAUUCAGGUUGUCAUGAGGGCCCUCAUCCUUUCCAAGCCUCUGUACUCAAGACAUUUGUGACUUGAGCUGCGGGUUAUUACUGAGCACCUCUUGCAAUCAUGACCUUGGUUUCUGCUGUGCCCCAAAAAUCAAGUCUUCACAUAACCCAAAUUAAAAAGCAGCUCUUUUUGCCAUCCUCAAUAACACAGGGGUUGUGAACAUUAAUACCAAGCACUAUGUAAAUAUUAAAUAUCAAAAGUAUAUUAAUUUAUAUAGCACUAUAAAUGCUAUAUAAAUUCAACCUUGAAUGAAAGCCCUUAUCCAAAGAUUUCUAAAGAGCUUGUGCAUCUUGGCCUGGGGAGAAAGGAAAAUAUAUCCUUUUUUAAGAAAAGUGAAAAGCUCAACUCAAUGUCCUGCUAUUUACUGUGUGUAUUUAUAUUGCACAAUCAAGGAGUUGCAUUAAAAUGUAUCAGUUGCCAAAACUCCAUUUUCCAGCUAAAUUUGACCAAGCUGAAAAGGGAAUUAUAUAUGCCAGAGGACUGCAGUAAAAGAGAUUUAAGGGUUUUGAAAUACUGUAAAACAAGACUAUAAUAAGUGAGUAGUGGUCCAGUCAGCUGUUUUAAUUAAAACUGGGCUGCUUAUUGAUCUAUCAGAGAGAUUUACCCCCACCUGCAACACUUCAGCAAUAUUCCCUUCAACCAUUUAAGAAAAUAGUGUUUCUAAGGGACAUAUAAAGAAUAUAGAAGUGGAGAAUGGAAGUGUUUAACUAUGAGUUCGAUCUUUUUUCCAUCCCAUGUAAGCACCUUAUGUAUUUUCAUACAAAAAUGAAAGCGAGUAUGUAGAAUGUACAGGAUACUGCUUUUCUGAUGUAAUUCUAAUGGGUUUGCUGAUUGCUUUAAAGAGGUCUAAAAUACACUGCUUUCUCUCAUAUUUAUAAAGGUGUCAUGUCUAAAAAUGUUCUUGCCACUGAAACCAGUAGGAUCUUCUGUGGUUACAUCUUCAAGGUGGGAGUUUGCCAUGCCUCACGUGAUUGAAGGAAGUUCUCUGUGUGAAAGCCAAAGAAAAUGCUAAGAAGGCACUAAUAAGUGUUUGUCAUGAGUAUGGAAGGCUACUGUAUCAGCAGCUUGGUAGCUCUUUGUUCUAAAGGGCUUGAUUAUUUAAUUUCUUUCUAUAAAAGUAAUGUGGUGAAAUUGAAACAGUGUGAAAUUAAAACGGUAUCGAU